RNAcentral lists this microRNA precursor (76 nucleotides) under Mayetiola destructor (Hessian fly). RNAcentral's name for it is "microRNA mir-315". Lineage: Eukaryota; Metazoa; Arthropoda; Insecta; Diptera; Cecidomyiidae. The record is from RNAcentral.
CAUUCGACUCGAAUAAAAUUUUGCCCGGAAACUUUUCCGGAAAAAUUUUCGGGCAAAAUUUUAUUCGAGUCGAAUG